Molecule: ribosomal RNA, 435 nt
Filed under: uncultured bacterium
Lineage: Bacteria
Description: partial 16S ribosomal RNA
Rfam family: Bacterial small subunit ribosomal RNA
Source: RNAcentral
GAUGAACGCUGGCGGUAUGCUUAACACAUGCAAGUCGAACGGACUCUUCGGAGUUAGUGGCGGACGGGUGAGUAACGCGUGAGAAUCUGGCUUUGGGUUCGGGACAACCACUGGAAACGGUGGCUAAUACCGGAUGUGCCGAGAGGUAAAAGAGAAAUUGCCUGAAGAUGAGCUCGCGUCUGAUUAGCUAGUUGGUGAGGUAAAGGCUCACCAAGGCAGCGAUCAGUAGCUGGUCUGAGAGGAUGACCAGCCACACUGGGACUGAGACACGGCCCAGACUCCUACGGGAGGCAGCAGUGGGGAAUUUUCCGCAAUGGGCGAAAGCCUGACGGAGCAAUACCGCGUGAGGGGAGAAGGCUCUUGGGUUGUAAACCUCUUUUCUUAGGGAAGAACAAAAUGACGGUACCUAAGGAAUCAGCAUCGGCUAACUCCGUG